GACGAACGCUGGCGGCGUGCCUAAUACAUGCAAGUAGAACGCUGAAGAGAGGAGCUUACUCUUCUUGGAUGAGUUGCGAACGGGUGAGUAACGCGUAGGUAACCUGCCUUGUAGCGGGGGAUAACUAUUGGAAGCGAUAGCUAAUACCGCAUAACAAUGGAUGACACAUGUCAUUUAUUUGAAAGGGGCAAUUGCUCCACUACAAGAUGGACCUGCGUUGUAUUAGCUAGUAGGUGAGGUAAUGGCUCACCUAGGCGACGAUACAUAGCCGACCUGAGAGGGGGAUCGGCCACACUGGGACUGAGACACGGCCCAGACUCCUACGGGAGGCAGCAGUAGGGAAUCUUCGGCAAUAGGGGCAACCCUGACCGAGCAACGCCGCGUGAGUGAAGAAGGUUUUCGGAUCGUAAAGCUCUGUUGUAAGUCAAGAACGGGUGUGAGAGUGGAAAGUUCACACUGUGACGGUAGCUUACCAGAAAGAGACGGCUAACUACGUG
This 497-nucleotide ribosomal RNA is filed under the name uncultured bacterium. RNAcentral describes it as "partial 16S ribosomal RNA". It matches the Rfam family "Bacterial small subunit ribosomal RNA", at positions 28 to 507 of the family's 1533-position model. The record is from RNAcentral.